CACGGUAUUACACACACUAGGGAAAAGCUG
RNAcentral lists this non-coding RNA (30 nucleotides) under Cricetulus griseus (Chinese hamster). The record is from RNAcentral. Lineage: Eukaryota; Metazoa; Chordata; Mammalia; Rodentia; Cricetidae.